Molecule: ribosomal RNA, 464 nt
Filed under: uncultured bacterium
Lineage: Bacteria
Description: partial 16S ribosomal RNA
Rfam family: Bacterial small subunit ribosomal RNA
Source: RNAcentral
GAUGAACGCUAGCGGGAGGCCUAACACAUGCAAGCCGAGCGGUAUUUGUUCUUCUGAACAGAGAGAGCGGCGCACGGGUGCGUAACACGUGCGCAACCUACCUUUAUCUGGGGUAUAGCCUUUCUCAAGGAAGAUUAAUACCCCAUAAUAUAUUGAGUGGCAUCACUUGAUAUUGAAAACUCCGGUGGAUUGAUAUGGGCACGCGCAUGAUUAGAUAGUUUGUGAGGUAGUGGCUCACCAAGGCAAUGAUCUUUAGGUGGCCUGAGAGGGUGAUCCCCCAAAGUGGGACUGAGAUACGGCCCAGACACCUACGGGAGGAAGAAGUGGGGAAUAUUGCAAGAUGGGCGGAAGACUGAUGCAGCAACGCCGCGUGCGGGAUGACGGACUUAGGGUUGUAAACAGCUAUCGCCUGUGAAGAAGCGUGAGUGACGGGAAUGGGUAAAGAAGCACCGGCUAACUACGUG